AUGAUUUUUGCCCUGAACGAAAAUUCUCACAACGAAUGCCGUCAACCAUGUACUACCACGACCAUCUGAUUUUCCGAACGCACUGAAUGACCCAUCUGGCUGUUUAUACGUC
This is a long non-coding RNA of Bradysia coprophila, 112 nucleotides long. The record is from RefSeq and is a predicted model, not a curated record. Lineage: Eukaryota; Metazoa; Arthropoda; Insecta; Diptera; Sciaridae.